GGGUGUGAGAGAACCAGACAGUUGGACUGGGGAGUGAGAGAACCAGACAGUUGGACUGGGGGUGUGAGAGAACCAGACAGUUGGACUGGGGGAGUGAGAGAACCAGACAGUUGGACUGGUGGAGUGAGAGAACCAGACAGUUGGACUGGUGGAGUGAGAGAACCAGACAGUUGGACUGGUGGAGUGAGAGAACCAGACAGUUGGACUGGUGGAGUGAGAGAACCAGACAGUUGGACUGGUGGAGUGAGAGAACCAGACAGUUGGACUGGGGGUGUGAGAGAACCAGACAGUUGGACUGGGGAGUGAGAGAACCAGACAGUUGGACUGGGGAUGUGAGAGAACCAAACAGUUGGACUGGGGGUGUGAGAGAACCAGACAGUUGGACUGGGAGUGUGAGAGAACCAGACAGUUGGACUGGGAGUGUGAGAGAACCAGACAGUUGGACUGGGGGAGUGAGAGAACCAGACAGUUGGACUGGGGAGUGAGAGAACCAGACAGUUGGACUGGGGGUGUGAGAGAACCAGACAGUUGGACUGGUGGAGGGAGAGAACCAGACAGUUGGACUGGGGGAGUGAGAGAACCAGACAGUUGGACUGGGGGUGUGAGAGAACCAGACAGUUGGACUGGGGUGUGAGAGAACCAGACAGUUGGACUGGGGAGUGAGAGAACCAGACAGUUGGACUGGUGGAGUGAGAGAACCAGACAGUUGGACUGGGGGUGUGAGGGAACCAGACAGUUGGACUGGGAGUGUGAGAGAACCAGACAGUUGGACUGGGGGUGUGAGAGAACCAGACAGUUGGACUGGGGAGUGAGAGAACCAGACAGUUGGACUGGGGGAGUGAGAGAACCAGACAGUUGGACUGGGUGAGUGAGAGAGCCAGACAGUUGGACUGGGGGAGUGAGAGAACCAGACAGUUGGACUGGGGGUGUGAGAGAACCAGACAGUUGGACUGGGGUGUGAGAGAACCAGACAGUUGGACUGGGGGAGUGAUAGAACCAGACAGUUGGACUGGGGGAGUGAGAGAACCUGACAGUUGGACUGGGGGAGUGAGAGAACCAAACAGUUGGACUGGGAG
This 1076-nucleotide long non-coding RNA is filed under the name Salmo salar (Atlantic salmon). RNAcentral describes it as "lncRNA (ENSSSAG00000120744.1)". The record is from RNAcentral. Lineage: Eukaryota; Metazoa; Chordata; Actinopteri; Salmoniformes; Salmonidae.